Small nuclear RNA from Cercocebus atys (sooty mangabey), 106 nucleotides. NCBI's taxonomy places the organism in Eukaryota, Metazoa, Chordata, Mammalia, Primates, Cercopithecidae. The record is from Ensembl.
GUGCCACUUCAGUAGCACAUACACUGAAACAGGAACAAUAAAGAGAAGAUUAGCAUGGCCCCUACACAAGGAUGACACUCAAACUUGGGAAGUUUCUACAUUUUUU